UUGUAGCUAUAUAUAUUAUAAUAACCAGAUGUCGCGUGGUUCGCUCGCAGCAAGCUGCUCGCGUGUCUUGUUUUCCCGCCAUUUUUUUACCGCGAUAGAAUUUGACCAAGACUUAAAUAGGUGUCGUGAAAUCAAAAAAGUUCUAGGUGCUAUAGUUUUGCCAGGCCGUAGGGUGACCCCUGAUGCGGAGCAGUUUUCCAAGAUGACGUUCCGAUCACACCCCAAUACAUCAUUUUUACCUCUGAGACAUUUUCUGGAAAAACAAAAAUUUGUAUGGCGGCCAUCUUGUUUUUCGGCCAUUUUGUUUUUUUUUCACUGGCGAUAAAAUUUGACCAAGACUUUAAUAGGCUUCGUGAAAACAAAAAAGUUCCAGGUGCGAUAGUUUCGCCAGGCUGUAGGGUGUCUCCCUGAUGCGGAGUAGCUUUCGAAGAUCGAAAAGUAUUUCCAUACUCAACAUGAUGUUUCGAUCACAUUCCUCAUACAUCAUUUUCACCCCCGAGGCAUUUUCGGGAAAAACGAAAAUUUUGUAUAGCGGCCAUCUUGUUCUUUCGCCA
This 554-nucleotide long non-coding RNA is filed under the name Pectinophora gossypiella (pink bollworm). Its description in RNAcentral is "uncharacterized LOC126381559". The record is from RNAcentral. Lineage: Eukaryota; Metazoa; Arthropoda; Insecta; Lepidoptera; Gelechiidae.